CAGGGAUUGCCUCAGUAACGGCGAGUGAAGCGGCAACAGCUCAAAUUUGAAAUCUGGUUCCUUUCAGGGACCCGAGUUGUAAUUUGUAGAGGAUGUCUUCGGGUCUGGCCCCGGCCUAAGUUCCUUGGAACAGGACGUCACAGAGGGUGAGAAUCCCGUAUGUGGCUGGAGGUCUAUUCCUAUGUGAAGCUCCUUCGACGAGUCGAGUUGUUUGGGAAUGCAGCUCAAAAUGGGUGGUAAGUUUCAUCUAAAGCUAAAUACUGGCGGGAGACCGAUAGCGCACAAGUAGAGUGAUCGAAAGAUGAAAAGCACUUUGGAAAGAGAGUUAAAAAGUACGUGAAAUUGUUGAAAGGGAAGCGCUUGCGACCAGACUUGCCUUCAGUUGAUCAACCGGAAGUAUCUCCGGUGCACUCUGCUGAGGUCAGGCCAGCAUCGGUUUAGGCGGUUGGAGAAAGGCCUUGGGAAUGUGGCUCCUUCCGGGGAGUGUUAUAGCCCAUGGUGCCAUGCGACCAGCCUGGACCGAGGACCGCGCCUUAGUGCUAGGAUGCUGGCGUAAUGGUCGUAAGCGACCCGUCUUGAAACACGGACCAAGGAGUCUAACAUCUAUGCGAGUGUUUGGGUGUAAAACCCACGCGCGUAAUGAAAGUGAACGGAGGUGGGAACCCUUGAGGGUGCACCAUCGACCGAUCCUGAUGUCUUCGGAUGGAUUUGAGUAAGAGCAUAGCUGUUGGGACCCGAAAGAUGGUGAACUAUGCCUGAAUAGGGUGAAGCCAGAGGAAACUCUGGUGGAGGCUCGCAGCGGUUCUGCGUGCAAAUCGAUCGUCAAAUUUGGGUAUAGGGGCGAAAGACUAAUCGAACC
Molecule: ribosomal RNA, 859 nt
Filed under: Glutinoglossum orientale
Lineage: Eukaryota; Fungi; Ascomycota; Geoglossomycetes; Geoglossales; Geoglossaceae
Description: eukaryotic LSU rRNA
Rfam family: Eukaryotic large subunit ribosomal RNA
Source: RNAcentral